This 486-nucleotide ribosomal RNA is filed under the name uncultured bacterium. RNAcentral's name for it is "partial 16S ribosomal RNA". It matches the Rfam family "Bacterial small subunit ribosomal RNA", at positions 30 to 507 of the family's 1533-position model. The record is from RNAcentral.
AUUGAACGCUGGCGGCAUGCCUUACACAUGCAAGUCGAACGGCAGCACGGGUGCUUGCACCUGGUGGCGAGUGGUGAACGGGUGAGUAAUACAUCGGAACAUGUCCUGUAGUGGGGGAUAGCCCGGCGAAAGCCGGAUUAAUACCGCAUACGAUCUACGGAUGAAAGGGGGGGACCUUCGGGCCUCGCGCUAUAGGGUUGGCCGAUGGCUGAUUAGCUAGUUGGUGGGGUAAAGGCCUACCAAGGCGCCGAUCAGUAUCUGGUCUGAGAGGACGACCAGCGACACUGGGACUGAGACACGGCCCAGACUCCUACGGGAGGCAGCAGUGGGGAAUUUUGGACAAUGGGCGAAAGCCUGAUCCAGCAAUGCCGCGUGUGUGAAGAAGGCCUUCGGGUUGUAAAGCACUUUUGUCCGGAAAGAAAUCCUUGGCCCUAAUACGGUCGGGGGAUGACGGUACCGGGAGAAUAAGCACCGGCUAACUACGUG